This 305-nucleotide ribosomal RNA is filed under the name uncultured bacterium. RNAcentral describes it as "bacterial SSU rRNA". It matches the Rfam family "Bacterial small subunit ribosomal RNA", at positions 337 to 634 of the family's 1533-position model. The record is from RNAcentral.
ACCUACGGGAGGCAGCAGUAGGGAAUCUUCCACAAUGGGCGAAAGCCUGAUGGAGCAACGCCGCGUGGGUGAAGAAGGUCUUCGGAUCGUAAAACCCCGUUGUUAGAGAAGAAAGUGCGUGAGAGUAACUGUUCGCGUUUCGACGGUAUCUAACCAGAAAGCCACGGCUAACUACGUGCCAGCAGCCGCGGUAAUACGUAGGUGGCAAGCGUUAUCCGGAUUUAUUGGGCGUAAAGGGAACGCAGGCGGUCUUUUAAGUCUGAUGUGAAAGCCUUCGGCUUAACCGGAGUAGUGCAUUGGAAACU